GCCUCGGUAGCUCAGUUGGUCAGAGCAGCGGACUUUUAAUCCGCGGGUCCAGGGUUCGAGCCCCUGCCGGGGCACCA
This 77-nucleotide transfer RNA is filed under the name Xylanimonas allomyrinae. RNAcentral's name for it is "tRNA-Lys". It matches the Rfam family "tRNA". From Rfam's summary of the family: Transfer RNA (tRNA) molecules are approximately 80 nucleotides in length. Their secondary structure includes four short double-helical elements and three loops (D, anti-codon, and T loops). Further hydrogen bonds mediate the characteristic L-shaped molecular structure. tRNAs have two regions of fundamental functional importance: the anti-codon, which is responsible for specific mRNA codon recognition, and the 3' end, to which the tRNAs corresponding amino acid is attached (by aminoacyl-tRNA synthetases). tRNAs cope with the degeneracy of the genetic code in two manners: having more than one tRNA (with a specific anti-codon) for a particular amino acid; and 'wobble' base-pairing, i.e. permitting non-standard base-pairing at the 3rd anti-codon position. Lineage: Bacteria; Bacillati; Actinomycetota; Actinomycetes; Micrococcales; Promicromonosporaceae. The record is from RNAcentral.